Molecule: ribosomal RNA, 489 nt
Filed under: uncultured bacterium
Lineage: Bacteria
Description: bacterial SSU rRNA
Rfam family: Bacterial small subunit ribosomal RNA
Source: RNAcentral
GAUCCUGGCUUAGGACGAACGCUGGCGGCACGCUUAACACAUGCAAGUCGAACGGAGAUAAUUUGAGUUACUUAGGUUAUCUUAGUGGCGGACGGGUGAGUAACACGUGAGCAACCUACCUUAGAGAGAGGGAUAGCUUCUGGAAACGGAUGGUAAUACCUCAUAACAUAACCGGACCGCAUGAUCUGGUUAUCAAAGAUUUAUCACUCUGAGAUGGGCUCGCGUCUGAUUAGAUAGUUGGUGAGGUAACGGCUCACCAAGUCGACGAUCAGUAGCCGGACUGAGAGGUUGGACGGCCACAUUGGGACUGAGACACGGCCCAGACUCCUACGGGAGGCAGCAGUGGGGAAUAUUGCACAAUGGGGGAAACCCUGAUGCAGCGAUGCCGCGUGGAGGAAGAAGGUUUUCGGAUUGUAAACUCCUGUCUUAAAGGACGAUAAUGACGGUACUUUAGGAGGAAGCUCCGGCUAACUACGUGCCAGCCGCCGC